CCCCCUCUAAUUCCUCCCCAUCCACUUCUCCUCUAUAGUAGCUCCUUCCUUCUUAACCCGUUUCUCACCAACAAUCCCUCUUUCCUCUCCUCUUUUUUCUCACUAAUUUCUCAUCUUCCUCCACCUCCUCCUAACUUGCAAUGAGCUCUUCUCCUCUAUGGUGGCUCCCUCCACCUUCAAUCAUUCUUUGUUGAUGACCUUUCUAUCCUCCUCUUC
Molecule: long non-coding RNA, 216 nt
Filed under: Elaeis guineensis (African oil palm)
Lineage: Eukaryota; Viridiplantae; Streptophyta; Magnoliopsida; Arecales; Arecaceae
Description: long non-coding RNA (EGUI_LNC024978)
Source: RNAcentral